GACGAACGCUGGCGGCGUGCUUAACACAUGCAAGUCGAACGGAAAGGCCCUGCUUUUGUGGGGUGCUCGAGUGGCGAACGGGUGAGUAACACGUGAGUAACCUGCCCUUGACUUUGGGAUAACUUCAGGAAACUGGGGCUAAUACCGCAUAGGAGCUCCUGCUGCGUGGGGGGGGUUGGAAAGUUACGGCGGUUGGGGAUGGACUCGCGGCUUAUCAGCUUGAUGGUGGGGUAGUGGCUUACCAAGGCUUUGACGGGUAGCCGGCCUGAGAGGGUGACCGGCCACAUUGGGACUGCGAUACGGCCCAGACUCCUACGGGAGGCAGAAGUCGGGAAUAUUGCACAAUGGGCGGAAGCCUGAUGCAGCAACGCCGCGUGCGGGAUGACGGCCUUCGGGUUGUAAACCGCUUUCGCCUGUGACGAAGCGUGAGUGACGGUAAUGGGUAAAGAAGCACCGGCUAACUACGUG
This 468-nucleotide ribosomal RNA is filed under the name uncultured bacterium. RNAcentral's name for it is "partial 16S ribosomal RNA". It matches the Rfam family "Bacterial small subunit ribosomal RNA", at positions 28 to 507 of the family's 1533-position model. The record is from RNAcentral.